This 253-nucleotide ribosomal RNA is filed under the name uncultured bacterium. RNAcentral describes it as "partial 16S ribosomal RNA". It matches the Rfam family "Bacterial small subunit ribosomal RNA", at positions 524 to 776 of the family's 1533-position model. The record is from RNAcentral.
UACGUAGGGGGCAAGCGUUGUCCGGAAUCAUUGGGCGUAAAGAGCGUGUAGGCGGCUUGGCUAGUCUGGUGUGAAAUCUUGGGGCUCAACCCCAAGCGGUCACUGGAUACUUCCAAGCUUGAAUCCGGAAGAGGAGAGUGGAAUUCCUGGUGUAGCGGUGGAAUGCGCAGAUAUCAGGAGGAACACCAACGGCGAAGGCAGCUCUCUGGUACGUGAUUGACGCUGAGACGCGAAAGCGUGGGUAGCAAACAGG